AUGAAGCCAGGGAGACCGAUCUCGGCAGCGCGGGCGUCUACACGUUCGGUCUCGGCAAGGACUCAGAUCACCAGCUGCUCAACGACAUCGCCAAGAAAUCCCCCGGCGGGGACGUUCAGUACCGUGGUGGACGGGUCGAACCUGACCAAGCCAUUCGCCCAGAUGCUGGGUGGCCUCCUCACCGUGGUCGCGCAGGACGUGCGGCUCAUCCUCACACCCAAGAAAGCGGACGGCCUGAAGGAUAUGGUGGUGCCCGAAGACACCGACUACACCAAGACCACGGACGCCGCCGGCGUCAUCACCAUCCACUUCGGCACCCUCUUCAGCGGAGAGUCGCGCAAGGUCACCGUCAAGAUGACGCUCUCGGAGUGCGCCGUCGGCACGACGCGGCACGACGCGGUCUUGGCCGAGGCCCAGCACAGCUACAGCGCCCAGUCGAUUGUGCAGGGUCUCCAAACCCCCGAGAACCUCAAGAUCUUCCGCACCCCGAACCCAGCCACCGUCGCCGGCAGCAAGGCGCGUUGGGUGCUGGCCGAGCUGGCGCGGCGGCGGCAGGCUGAGGCGAUCAGGAAGGCCAUGGCCCUGGCGGACAACGGUGACCUCGACGGGGCGCGCUACUUGCUUGUAGACGCGCAGAAUGCACUGGAGGACGUCUUGCUGGACGACGGCCAGAAGCUGAUCGACUCGCUUCGCGCCGAGCUCGUGCAGCUCAUCAAGCUCAUGGCCUCCAAGGAGCUCUACGAGGCGCAGGGCCGCCCCUACGCGCUCGCCUCCGAUACCUCCCACGCCCGCCAGCGGUUCGCUGACAGGGGAGACGUCACGGACACCGCCCGCCUCUUCGCCACGCCGCGCAUGGACACCUACCUCGAGCAGGCCAAGCAGUUCGACAAGGACCCCACCAAGCCGCUGCCCUCCGCCGCCGAUGACGUCAAGGAAGAGAUCGCCGCCAACCCCAUGGCCGCCUUCUCCUCCGAGCUCGCCUUUUACCUCCGGAACGCAAUCGAGGCUCUGCAGGCCAUCGAGAAGAUGGUAGCCGCCCCCACCGCCACCGCCUAG
This 1056-nucleotide ribosomal RNA is filed under the name Triticum aestivum (bread wheat). RNAcentral's name for it is "partial small subunit ribosomal RNA". Lineage: Eukaryota; Viridiplantae; Streptophyta; Magnoliopsida; Poales; Poaceae. The record is from RNAcentral.